Molecule: long non-coding RNA, 216 nt
Filed under: Brachypodium distachyon (stiff brome)
Lineage: Eukaryota; Viridiplantae; Streptophyta; Magnoliopsida; Poales; Poaceae
Description: long non-coding RNA (BDIS_LNC005893)
Source: RNAcentral
CGGUUUCCAGGAGCCUCGCGAUGUGCCUGCAUCCACGGGGGAGUGUAUGCUCUCACGUCUCACGCCGCCGUGAAGCGGCUCACGCAUGAGGUCUGCGCCCUCCUCCCCAGUGUGGAGGCGCAGCAGCCGUUGAGGUGGUCGCAUGUGCCGAUCACCUUCAACUCGGACGAUCACCCGAUCCGUCCCUUGGGUUCAAGGGUGCUCCCCCUCGUAGUG